GGAGGAAGAGAGCAGCGUCGUGGGCACUGUGGUCAGAGCGUACUCUCCCAUCUUCAAAACCAAGACCAGUGCUGCCCUGCUGGAUAUGCUUGUGGAGGAGGGUCCUUCCAGCCCAAAGCAAGUGCCCGCCAUGGUGAGGUACAUCCACCAGUGGCUGGUGGCCAAUGAGUUUCCUGAGUACAAUCUGUACAGGCCCCUUCUGGAUCUGACAGGGGCACAGCCCUCUGACGUGGUGAUGGCUCUCCUGCGUGUGGCCCCAUUGUGUGACAGAGCUGCUUUGGCCAUGUGGAAGAGCAUCAUGUGCUCGCCCAGGACUGCAGAGCCGGCCAUGCUCGUACUCCUCGAGGUGCUGGGGAGCUGGCCAGAGCACAGCACGUGCACCUCCAAUGGGGACCACACGGCUGUCCUUGCCCUGGCUGCAACCGUGGUGAUGUGGAAGAUCCUCCAGCUGCCCUGUGUGCCACAUGUAGUCACUGUGUGUUUCCCCUGCCUCUUGGUGCAUCUGCUAUUCCAAGUGCUCUUCAGCACUCUGGAUAUGCCAGAGGAGGUCAAUACCUUCUGGAAGGGAUGUCAGCAGCAACACGGCCUUGCCACCAACCCCAGCAGCUUUGCAGAGCAGACCCUGAAGGCCCUGGUGGUGGCCAUGGAAGACAAGGGUGGCUGGGACACACUGCUCUGUGCUGACACCCACCACUGUGCUGUGGGCGUGCUGGCCAGAGAAAUGCACCGUGCAUCCGAAGCCGUGUGUUCCGCGAUUGCAUUCCAGCUGCUCGGGCAGCUCAGCAAAGACACGCCAUGCCGGGAUUUGGCCGCCCUGGCGUUCCUUGUGGAGGUGAGCCUGAAGGCCAGCGCUGCCUCGCUCAGCUGCCUCCCGGCUCUCUGCCCUCUCUUGGCCGCAGUGCCUGGGACGGAGCCCGCGCCCUGUGCUGCUGCCUGGGCCCGGCCCUGUGCGGUUCUGGGCUCCCGCCGGCCGCUCCCCCGUCACUGCCCUGUGCCUUUCAGGUCCUGGAGCGCCUGA
RNAcentral lists this long non-coding RNA (1018 nucleotides) under Taeniopygia guttata (zebra finch). RNAcentral's name for it is "lncRNA (ENSTGUG00000028400.1)". The record is from RNAcentral. Lineage: Eukaryota; Metazoa; Chordata; Aves; Passeriformes; Estrildidae.